This 306-nucleotide ribosomal RNA is filed under the name Anopheles stephensi (Asian malaria mosquito). RNAcentral describes it as "eukaryotic LSU rRNA". It matches the Rfam family "Eukaryotic large subunit ribosomal RNA", at positions 684 to 936 of the family's 3401-position model. Lineage: Eukaryota; Metazoa; Arthropoda; Insecta; Diptera; Culicidae. The record is from RNAcentral.
GUAACCAGCAAUGGUUGCGCACACGACUCAAACCCAAAGGCACAGACAACUCGAACAAGGUUGCUAGGGAUUACGGGUUCGGCACGGGCGCAAGCCUUCGUCGGGCCCCUCCAUCCCGGGGUGUCCCGUCCCGCGGCUGUCUCGUGCAGCCCGAGUGGGCAUCCCUCGAGUGCGUAGGAUGCGACCCGAAAGAUGGUGAACUAUGCCUGAUCAGGCCGAAGUCAGGGGAAACCCUGAUGGAGGGCCGAAGCAAUUCUGACGUGCAAAUCGAUUGUCAGAGUUGGGCAUAGGGGCGAAAGACCAAUC